Molecule: ribosomal RNA, 322 nt
Filed under: uncultured bacterium
Lineage: Bacteria
Description: bacterial SSU rRNA
Rfam family: Bacterial small subunit ribosomal RNA
Source: RNAcentral
ACGAAUGCUGGCGGCGUGCUUAACACAUGCAAGUGGAGCGACGAACCAGGCUUCGGCCUGGGGCAAAGCCGCGAACGGGUGAGUAACACGUGGGUAACGUGCCCCGAUGACCGGGACAACCCGAGGAAACUCGGGCUAAUACCGGAUGUGCUGUGCAGCCACGAGGCAGCACAGCAAAGGAAGCUUCGGCCUCCGCAUUGGGAGCGGCCCGCGGCCCAUUAGCUUGUUGGGAGGUAACGGCUCACCAAGGCCACGAUGGGUAGCUGGUCUGAGAGGACGAUCAGCCGCACUGGGACUGAGACACGGCCCAGACUCCUACGGG